Molecule: small RNA, 429 nt
Filed under: Pongo abelii (Sumatran orangutan)
Lineage: Eukaryota; Metazoa; Chordata; Mammalia; Primates; Hominidae
Description: processed transcript
Source: RNAcentral
AUUGGAUAUUGGACAUUAUGUUGUUAAGUGUUUAGAUUUUGUUUUGUUCCUUUAAAAAGUGUUGGACUUUUUUUUAAACAGGCUCCUGUAUCACCUGCAAAUUAUUUUGGUCCAUUAAACCUUGUUAUUAAGCUUUAAAGGAUAGGCCAAAAAGAGUCUUUAUUCUGGCUUUUAUUCAGCCAUACAACUAAGGCAUUAGCCCUUUGGAACCUCCAUCAGUCUCUGCAAAACCAUUUGAAAAUGGACAAUAUUUGGACAUUUAUGGAAUUACAAGGGACCAGGCUGGGGAAUAUGAAUGCAGUGCGGAAAAUGAUGUGUCAUUCCCAGAUGUGAGGAAAGUAAAAGUUAUUGUCAACUGUAAGUGUCACCACCUUUUAUCAAGAUAAGUUCUGAGAAAAGAUAAAACACCUUGAAAAAUUCUGACUGAAA